GGGGGCGUAGUGUAGUCGGUUAACAUGCCGGCCUGUCAAGCCGGAGACCGCGGGUUCAAGUCCCGUCGCUCCCGCCA
This 77-nucleotide transfer RNA is filed under the name Anaerolineae bacterium. Its description in RNAcentral is "tRNA-Asp". It matches the Rfam family "tRNA". Rfam says of the family: Transfer RNA (tRNA) molecules are approximately 80 nucleotides in length. Their secondary structure includes four short double-helical elements and three loops (D, anti-codon, and T loops). Lineage: Bacteria; Bacillati; Chloroflexota; Anaerolineae. The record is from RNAcentral.